CACGUAGGGUGCGAGCGUUGUCCGGAAUUAUUGGGCGUAAAGAGCUCGUAGGCGGUGUGUCGCGUCGGCCGUGAAAACUUGCAGCUUAACUGUGGGCGUGCGGUCGAUACGGGCAUCACUGGAGUUCGGCAGGGGAGACUGGAAUUCCUGGUGUAGCGGUGAAAUGCGCAGAUAUCAGGAGGAACACCGGUGGCGAAGGCGAGUCUCUGGACAUUUCCAGACGCUGAGGCACGAAAGCCAGGGGAGCAAACGGG
This 254-nucleotide ribosomal RNA is filed under the name uncultured bacterium. RNAcentral describes it as "partial 16S ribosomal RNA". It matches the Rfam family "Bacterial small subunit ribosomal RNA", at positions 524 to 776 of the family's 1533-position model. The record is from RNAcentral.